Molecule: small RNA, 21 nt
Filed under: Arabidopsis thaliana (thale cress)
Lineage: Eukaryota; Viridiplantae; Streptophyta; Magnoliopsida; Brassicales; Brassicaceae
Description: Ath_wt_08881
Source: RNAcentral
GAACAGCCUCUGGUCGAUGGA